Molecule: long non-coding RNA, 524 nt
Organism: Jaculus jaculus (lesser Egyptian jerboa)
Lineage: Eukaryota; Metazoa; Chordata; Mammalia; Rodentia; Dipodidae
Exons: 3
Source: RefSeq, a predicted model, not a curated record
GAUUAAGAGCAUUGAUUGCUUGGCACUUCUACCCACAAGUUGUGAACUGCAUCUAAGUCUUUAUCCAUGGAGAGGCAGAAGGUCAUCCCCAUGUUACGGAUGAAAAGAGUGGCUCUCCAGCAAGGAGCUAAGUGAAGCCUUGAGUUCUCUGACACUGAGAAAUCAAGCUGGAGCUGAGCUGGAAGCCUCCUCUCUGCUGAUUAGUUGUCACAAGAGAAAAGUCAUCAAAAUACUAUGAACCAGCCGUGAAUUCUGCAAGCGACACAAGUGGCCAGCCAGGCAAGAUGUGUCCACUGGUGCAGCAGUGGCAUUGUCUGGCAUCCUGGUGCUCUCUGCCCAGCUUUGAGGAGGAAGGGAGUCCAUGUCUGGUAUUGAAAACCUAAUUAAAAUCCCAUUAUGGCUAUGAAAGUGAUAAAUCCUACUGCGGAAGCUCCUAUUAGUGUUUGGCCAAAUGAACAUAGUAUGCCCACUGUGGUGGUUUGAUGGAGGUGUCCCCCAUAAACUUAGGUGUUCUGAAUGCCGUG